AUGAUAUGUAGAUGUGGCAGCCUCUUAUCUGGGUGUUCCAUUGAAGAAGCAGGAGGAGGAACUGGGACAAUGAAGCCUUUCCCUGCUUCCCUCAAGAAGCUUGCCAUUUCAUCAGAGUCAAGCAUACAGUCAAUGGCUCUGCUCUCGAACCUCACGUCUCUCACCCAUCUGACACUGCAAGAUUGUGUCAAGUUAACAUUGGAUGGAUUCAAUCCUCUCAUCACAGUCAAUCUCAAGGUAUUGGUGGUAUUUAACUGCAGAUGGGACAGAAGUUGUCCCGAAUCUGUAGCAGCGGAUCUGCUGUCCGAGGUGGCAAGUAGCACAGCAAUGCCUGCACGUUCCUUCCGAUUGGAACAGCUCAAGGUGGACAGCAUCUCGGCAGUGCUUGUCGCUCCCAUCUGCAACCUCGUCGCUUCUACCCUCCACACCUUGAUAUUCUGCCAUGAUCACCGGGCCAAAAGCUUCACGGAAGAGCAAGAGAAGGUGCUUCAGCUCCUCACCUCCCUCCGACACCUCGGAUUUGAUGGUUGUGGGGCUCUGCAGUCCCUCCCGCGGGGUCUGAGUCGCAUUUCUUCUCUGGAGAACUUAGAGGUCCUUUGGUGUCCAGAAAUCCAAUCAUUACCCAAGGAGGGCUUCCCUGUUUCACUGCGAAACCUACGCAUAAGGCCUUGCAGCACCGAGGUUAAGGAGCAAAUUGAGAAACACAGAAGAACAAGCCCAGGUUUAUCUGUACGAUACGAGUAA
Molecule: ribosomal RNA, 744 nt
Filed under: Triticum aestivum (bread wheat)
Lineage: Eukaryota; Viridiplantae; Streptophyta; Magnoliopsida; Poales; Poaceae
Description: partial small subunit ribosomal RNA
Source: RNAcentral